This 448-nucleotide ribosomal RNA is filed under the name Blacus sp. RNAcentral's name for it is "partial 16S ribosomal RNA". Lineage: Eukaryota; Metazoa; Arthropoda; Insecta; Hymenoptera; Braconidae. The record is from RNAcentral.
CUGCUCAAUGAAAUUAUAUUUAAAUAGCUGCAGUAUAAAUAACUGUACAAAGGUAGCAUAAUAAUUAGUUUUUUAAUUAAAAACUUGAAUGAAAGAUUAAAUAAAAUAUAAACUAUCUUAACUAAAUCAAUUUAAAUUAAUUUUAAGUCAAAAAUCUUAAAUUAAAUUAAAAGACGAAAAGACCCUAUAGAAUUUUAUUUAUCUUAUAAAAUAUUUUAUUAAAUAAAUUUAAUUGGGGCAAUUUUAAAAUUUUUAAAAUUUUUAAUUUUUUAAUCAUUAAUAUAUGAAUAAAUCUAACCUUAUAAUAUAAUUUAAAAAAAUAAAUUACCUUAGGGAUAACAGCAUAAUUUUUUUUUUAAGCUCUUAUUUAAAAUAAAGUUUAUGACCUCGAUGUUGAAUUAAGAUAAAAUUUAAAUGAAAAAAUUUAAUAAUUUAAGUCUGUUCGACU